AACACUUUACAAAACACUCUAGCAGGCCAGUCUGACCUUUCGACAAAAGUAAAAUUAUUUGUGUUUCAGAGAAGUCUGCAAUGGUCAUUUGAAGUACCACGGAAACACCAUGAACAUCCCACCAGAAACAGGUUUGUUCUCCUGAGAAGAGGGUCAGUUGGGCUCUUCCAGGCUCUCUCCUUGGAGAAGUUUGCUUCUGUCUUGGUCCAGAGUGAGAAUCUAAUCAAGGAGUCGGGGCUGCCACCAGUCCUUGAGGUCUGGACGCUGAGUGGUCCUGAUGCAGGCGGCCCUGGGCUGCUGCAUCCACACAGAGGGAGAGCAGAGGCUCCGGUUCUCCAGGAGUUCUUGGGUGUCUCAUUUGGCCAAGAGCCGGAAGCACGGCUUCAGCUAAACUAUGCUCUGGCCUAGGCAUACUGGUCUGUUUGCACAUCCUGUGGGUGGACACAGGUUCAGCCUCCAAAAAUGAAGCCGCAGGACAGCCAUGGAGGAGACUCAGAAUUUAGACCUCAAGAUAUCUACAAGGUGGGGAAACUCACCUUCCACGCCAGUCACAUUGGACGAAGGGUCCACACCGCUCGGAUAGGAGCUCAUCUUAACUCAUGACAUCUGCGGAGACCCUCUUUCCAGAGCCUGCGAGCCACAACUACUGAAGCCCACGCGCCACAACUACUGAAGCCUGCACGCCUAGAGGCCGUGCUCUGCAACAAGAGAAGCCACCACAAUGAGAAGCCCAUGCACUGCAAGGAAGAGUAGCCCCCGCUCGCCACAACUAGAGAAAGCCUGUGCGCAGCAACGAAGACCCAACACAGCCAAAAAUAAA
Molecule: long non-coding RNA, 820 nt
Organism: Lagenorhynchus albirostris (white-beaked dolphin)
Lineage: Eukaryota; Metazoa; Chordata; Mammalia; Artiodactyla; Delphinidae
Exons: 3
Source: RefSeq, a predicted model, not a curated record